GUGCUUACUUCAGCAGCACAUAUACUAAAAUUGGAACCAUACAAAGAAGAUUAGCAUGGCUCCUGCGUAAGGGUAACUCACAAAUUCAUGAAAUGUUCCAUACUUAA
Erinaceus europaeus (western European hedgehog) is the source of this 107-nucleotide small nuclear RNA. The record is from Ensembl. Lineage: Eukaryota; Metazoa; Chordata; Mammalia; Eulipotyphla; Erinaceidae.